Molecule: ribosomal RNA, 913 nt
Filed under: Lactobacillus sp. 171B7_12EGalle
Lineage: Bacteria; Bacillati; Bacillota; Bacilli; Lactobacillales; Lactobacillaceae
Description: bacterial SSU rRNA
Rfam family: Bacterial small subunit ribosomal RNA
Source: RNAcentral
ACAUGCAAGUCGAACGAACUCUGGUAUUGAUUGGUGCUUGCAUCAUGAUUUACAUUUGAGUGAGUGGCGAACUGGUGAGUAACACGUGGGAAACCUGCCCAGAAGCGGGGGAUAACACCUGGAAACAGAUGCUAAUACCGCAUAACAACUUGGACCGCAUGGUCCGAGUUUGAAAGAUGGCUUCGGCUAUCACUUUUGGAUGGUCCCGCGGCGUAUUAGCUAGAUGGUGGGGUAACGGCUCACCAUGGCAAUGAUACGUAGCCGACCUGAGAGGGUAAUCGGCCACAUUGGGACUGAGACACGGCCCAAACUCCUACGGGAGGCAGCAGUAGGGAAUCUUCCACAAUGGACGAAAGUCUGAUGGAGCAACGCCGCGUGAGUGAAGAAGGGUUUCGGCUCGUAAAACUCUGUUGUUAAAGAAGAACAUAUCUGAGAGUAACUGUUCAGGUAUUGACGGUAUUUAACCAGAAAGCCACGGCUAACUACGUGCCAGCAGCCGCGGUAAUACGUAGGUGGCAAGCGUUGUCCGGAUUUAUUGGGCGUAAAGCGAGCGCAGGCGGUUUUUUAAGUCUGAUGUGAAAGCCUUCGGCUCAACCGAAGAAGUGCAUCGGAAACUGGGAAACUUGAGUGCAGAAGAGGACAGUGGAACUCCAUGUGUAGCGGUGAAAUGCGUAGAUAUAUGGAAGAACACCAGUGGCGAAGGCGGCUGUCUGGUCUGUAACUGACGCUGAGGCUCGAAAGUAUGGGUAGCAAACAGGAUUAGAUACCCUGGUAGUCCAUACCGUAAACGAUGAAUGCUAAGUGUUGGAGGGUUUCCGCCCUUCAGUGCUGCAGCUAACGCAUUAAGCAUUCCGCCUGGGGAGUACGGCCGCAAGGCUGAAACUCAAAGGAAUUGACGGGGGCCCGCACAAGC